UACGUAGGGACCAAGCGUUGUUCGGAUUUACUGGGCGUAAAGGGCGCGUAGGCGGCAAUUCAAGUCAGCUGUGAAAUCUCCGAGCUUAACUCGGAACGGUCAGCUGAUACUGUUUUGCUAGAGUGCAGAAAGGGCAACCGGAAUUCUUGGUGUAGCGGUGAAAUGCGUAGAUAUCAAGAGGAACACUAGUGGCGAAGGCGAGACUCUGGACAGUUCCUGACGCUGAGGCACGAAGGCCAGGGGAGCAAACGGG
Molecule: ribosomal RNA, 253 nt
Filed under: uncultured bacterium
Lineage: Bacteria
Description: partial 16S ribosomal RNA
Rfam family: Bacterial small subunit ribosomal RNA
Source: RNAcentral